UAGGGAAUCUUCCGCAAUGGACGCAAGUCUGACGGAGCAACGCCGCGUGAGUGAAGAAGGAUUUCGGUUCGUAAAACUCUGUUGUUAGAGAAGAACAGCGCAUAGAGUAACUGUUAUGCGUGUGACGGUAUCUAACCAGAAAGCCACGGCUAACUACGUGCCAGCAGCCGCGGUAAUACGUAGGUGGCAAGCGUUGUCCGGAUUUAUUGGGCGUAAAGCGAGCGCAGGCGGUCAAUUAAGUCUGAUGUGAAAGCCCCCGGCUAAACCGGGGAGGGUCAUUGGAAACUGGUUGACGUGAGUGAAGAAGAGGAGAGUGGAAUUCCAUGUGUAGCGGUGAAGUGCGUAGAUAUAUGGAGGAACACCAGUGGCGAAGGCGACUCUCUGGUCUGUAACUGACGCUGAGGUUCGAAAGCGUGGGUAGCAAACAGG
RNAcentral lists this ribosomal RNA (429 nucleotides) under Bacteroidota bacterium. RNAcentral describes it as "Bacteroidetes bacterium partial 16S ribosomal RNA". It matches the Rfam family "Bacterial small subunit ribosomal RNA", at positions 355 to 776 of the family's 1533-position model. Lineage: Bacteria; Pseudomonadati; Bacteroidota. The record is from RNAcentral.